This 441-nucleotide ribosomal RNA is filed under the name uncultured bacterium. Its description in RNAcentral is "partial 16S ribosomal RNA". It matches the Rfam family "Bacterial small subunit ribosomal RNA", at positions 338 to 795 of the family's 1533-position model. The record is from RNAcentral.
CCUACGGGUGGCAGCAGUGGGGAAUAUUGCACAAUGGGGGAAACCCUGAUGCAGCGACGCCGCGUGAGUGAAGAAGUAUUUCGGUAUGUAAAGCUCUAUCAGCAGGAACGAGACAAGACGGUACCUGACUAAGAAGCCCCGGCUAACUACGUGCCAGCAGCCGCGGUAAUACGUAGGGGGCAAGCGUUAUCCGGAAUCACUGGGUGUAAAGGGAGCGUAGACGGCUGUGCAAGCCUGAAGUGAAAGGCGGGGGCCCAACCCCUGGACUGCUUUGGGAACUGUACGGCUGGAGUGCAGGAGGGGCAGGCGGAAUUCCUGGUGUAGCGGUGAAAUGCGUAGAUAUCAGGAGGAACACCGGUGGCGAAGGCGGCCUGCUGGACUGCAACUGACGUUGAGGCCCGAAAGCGUGGGGAGCAAACAGGAUUAGAUACCCUGGUAGUC